This 901-nucleotide ribosomal RNA is filed under the name uncultured bacterium. RNAcentral's name for it is "bacterial SSU rRNA". It matches the Rfam family "Bacterial small subunit ribosomal RNA", at positions 8 to 918 of the family's 1533-position model. The record is from RNAcentral.
AGAGUUUGAUCAUGGCUCAGGAUGAACGCUAGCGGCAGGCUUAACACAUGCAAGUCGAGGGGUAUAGUUCUUCGGAACUAGAGACCGGCGCACGGGUGCGUAACGCGUAUGCAAUCUACCUUUCACAAAGGGAUAGCCCAGAGAAAUUUGGAUUAAUACCUUAUAGCAUAGCGAGUUCGCAUGGAUUUGCUAUUAAAGAUUUAUCGGUGAAAGAUGAGCAUGCGUCCCAUUAGCUAGUUGGUAAGGUAACGGCUUACCAAGGCUACGAUGGGUAGGGGUCCUGAGAGGGAGAUCCCCCACACUGGUACUGAGACACGGACCAGACUCCUACGGGAGGCAGCAGUGAGGAAUAUUGGUCAAUGGGCGCAAGCCUGAACCAGCCAUGCCGCGUGCAGGAUGACGGUCCUAUGGAUUGUAAACUGCUUUUGUACAGGAAGAAACACCCCGACGUGUCGGGACUUGACGGUACUGUAAGAAUAAGGAUCGGCUAACUCCGUGCCAGCAGCCGCGGUAAUACGGAGGAUCCAAGCGUUAUCCGGAAUCAUUGGGUUUAAAGGGUCCGUAGGCGGCUUAAUAAGUCAGUGGUGAAAUCCCUACGCUUAACGUAGGAACGGCCAUUGAUACUGUUAGGCUUGAAUUAUUAGGAAGUAACUAGAAUAUGUAGUGUAGCGGUGAAAUGCUUAGAGAUUACAUGGAAUACCAAUUGCGAAGGCAGGUUACUACUAAUGGAUUGACGCUGAUGGACGAAAGCGUGGGUAGCGAACAGGAUUAGAUACCCUGGUAGUCCACGCCGUAAACGAUGGAUACUAGCUGUUGGAAGCAAUUUCAGUGGCUAAGCGAAAGUGAUAAGUAUCCCACCUGGGGAGUACGUUCGCAAGAUGAACUCAAGGAAUUGACGGGG